This 2210-nucleotide ribosomal RNA is filed under the name Escherichia coli. RNAcentral's name for it is "partial 23S ribosomal RNA". It matches the Rfam family "Bacterial large subunit ribosomal RNA", at positions 1 to 2226 of the family's 2925-position model. The record is from RNAcentral. Lineage: Bacteria; Pseudomonadati; Pseudomonadota; Gammaproteobacteria; Enterobacterales; Enterobacteriaceae.
GGGUUGUGAGGUUAAGCGACUAAGCGUACACGGUGGAUGCCCUGGCAGUCAGAGGCGAUGAAGGACGUGCUAAUCUGCGAUAAGCGUCGGUAAGGUGAUAUGAACCGUUAUAACCGGCGAUUUCCGAAUGGGGAAACCCAGUGUGAUUCGUCACACUAUCAUUAACUGAAUCCAUAGGUUAAUGAGGCGAACCGGGGGAACUGAAACAUCUAAGUACCCCGAGGAAAAGAAAUCAACCGAGAUUCCCCCAGUAGCGGCGAGCGAACGGGGAGGAGCCCAGAGCCUGAAUCAGUGUGUGUGUUAGUGGAAGCGUCUGGAAAGGCGUGCGAUACAGGGUGACAGCCCCGUACACAAAAAUGCACAUGCUGUGAGCUCGAUGAGUAGGGCGGGACACGUGGUAUCCUGUCUGAAUAUGGGGGGACCAUCCUCCAAGGCUAAAUACUCCUGACUGACCGAUAGUGAACCAGUACCGUGAGGGAAAGGCGAAAAGAACCCCGGCGAGGGGAGUGAAAAAGAACCUGAAACCGUGUACGUACAAGCAGUGGGAGCCUCUUUAAUGGGGUGACUGCGUACCUUUUGUAUAAUGGGUCAGCGACUUAUAUUCUGUAGCAAGGUUAACCGAAUAGGGGAGCCGAAGGGAAACCGAGUCUUAACUGGGCGUUAAGUUGCAGGGUAUAGACCCGAAACCCGGUGAUCUAGCCAUGGGCAGGUUGAAGGUUGGGUAACACUAACUGGAGGACCGAACCGACUAAUGUUGAAAAAUUAGCGGAUGACUUGUGGCUGGGGGUGAAAGGCCAAUCAAACCGGGAGAUAGCUGGUUCUCCCCGAAAGCUAUUUAGGUAGCGCCUCGUGAAUUCAUCUCCGGGGGUAGAGCACUGUUUCGGCAAGGGGGUCAUCCCGACUUACCAACCCGAUGCAAACUGCGAAUACCGGAGAAUGUUAUCACGGGAGACACACGGCGGGUGCUAACGUCCGUCGUGAAGAGGGAAACAACCCAGACCGCCAGCUAAGGUCCCAAAGUCAUGGUUAAGUGGGAAACGAUGUGGGAAGGCCCAGACAGCCAGGAUGUUGGCUUAGAAGCAGCCAUCAUUUAAAGAAAGCGUAAUAGCUCACUGGUCGAGUCGGCCUGCGCGGAAGAUGUAACGGGGCUAAACCAUGCACCGAAGCUGCGGCAGCGACACUAUGUGUUGUUGGGUAGGGGAGCGUUCUGUAAGCCGUUGAAGGUGUGCUGUGAGGCAUGCUGGAGGUAUCAGAAGUGCGAAUGCUGACAUAAGUAACGAUAAAGCGGGUGAAAAGCCCGCUCGCCGGAAGACCAAGGGUUCCUGUCCAACGUUAAUCGGGGCAGGGUGAGUCGACCCCUAAGGCGAGGCCGAAAGGCGUAGUCGAUGGGAAACAGGUUAAUAUUCCUGUACUUGGUGUUACUGCGAAGGGGGGACGGAGAAGGCUAUGUUGGCCGGGCGACGGUUGUCCCGGUUUAAGCGUGUAGGCUGAUUUUCCAGGCAAAUCCGGAGAAUCAAGGCUGAGGCGUGAUGACGAGGCACUACGGUGCUGAAGCAACAAAUGCCCUGCUUCCAGGAAAAGCCUCUAAGCAUCAGGUAACAUCAAAUCGUACCCCAAACCGACACAGGUGGUCAGGUAGAGAAUACCAAGGCGCUUGAGAGAACUCGGGUGAAGGAACUAGGCAAAAUGGUGCCGUAACUUCGGGAGAAGGCACGCUGAUAUGUAGGUGAAGCGACUUGCUCGUGGAGCUGAAAUCAGUCGAAGAUACCAGCUGGCUGCAACUGUUUAUUAAAAACACAGCACUGUGCAAACACGAAAGUGGACGUAUACGGUGUGACGCCUGCCCGGUGCCGGAAGGUUAAUUGAUGGGGUCAGCCGCAAGGCGAAGCUCUUGAUCGAAGCCCCGGUAAACGGCGGCCGUAACUAUAACGGUCCUAAGGUAGCGAAAUUCCUUGUCGGGUAAGUUCCGACCUGCACGAAUGGCGUAAUGAUGGCCAGGCUGUCUCCACCCGAGACUCAGUGAAAUUGAACUCGCUGUGAAGAUGCAGUGUACCCGCGGCAAGACGGAAAGACCCCGUGAACCUUUACUAUAGCUUGACACUGAACAUUGAGCCUUGAUGUGUAGGAUAGGUGGGAGGCUUUGAAGUGUGGACGCCAGUCUGCAUGGAGCCGACCUUGAAAUACCACCCUUUAAUGUUUGAUGUUCUAAC